This 156-nucleotide ribosomal RNA is filed under the name basidiomycete sp. OS-S66. RNAcentral's name for it is "5.8S ribosomal RNA". It matches the Rfam family "5.8S ribosomal RNA". From Rfam's summary of the family: 5.8S ribosomal RNA (5.8S rRNA) is a component of the large subunit of the eukaryotic ribosome. The record is from RNAcentral. Lineage: Eukaryota; Fungi; Basidiomycota.
AACUUUCAACAACGGAUCUCUUGGCUCUCGCAUCGAUNAAGAACGCAGCGAAAUGCGAUAAGUAAUGUGAAUUGCAGAUUUCAGUGAAUCAUCGAAUCUUUGAACGCACCUUGCGCUCCUUGGUAUUCCGAGGAGCAUGCCUGUUUGAGAGUCAUU